This 149-nucleotide small RNA is filed under the name Arabidopsis thaliana (thale cress). RNAcentral describes it as "ATSL260880". Lineage: Eukaryota; Viridiplantae; Streptophyta; Magnoliopsida; Brassicales; Brassicaceae. The record is from RNAcentral.
AAAUUUUUAUUUCUAAUGGCAUACCUAUGUAAUUACUUACAAAAAUUAAGGUUACAUUUAAAAUGUACUUCCCAAAUAAUAUAGUAGGAUAAUAACUUAAUAUAUAAGGGAUAUGUCUUUGAUAUUGUAGAAUUUCAUAUGCGUAGAAC